RNAcentral lists this ribosomal RNA (253 nucleotides) under uncultured bacterium. Its description in RNAcentral is "partial 16S ribosomal RNA". It matches the Rfam family "Bacterial small subunit ribosomal RNA", at positions 524 to 776 of the family's 1533-position model. The record is from RNAcentral.
UACGAAGGAUGCAAGCGUUAUCCGGAUUUAUUGGGUUUAAAGGGUGCGUAGGCGGACUUAUAAGUCAGUGGUGAAAUCUCGUUGCUUAACAACGAACGUGCCAUUGAUACUGUAGGUCUUGAGUACAGAUGCCGUCGGCGGAAUGUGUCAUGUAGCGGUGAAAUGCAUAGAUAUGACACAGAACACCGAUUGCGAAGGCAGCUGACGAAACUGUAACUGACGCUGAGGCACGAAAGCGUGGGGAUCAAACAGG